GAUGAACGCUGGCGGCGUGCUUAACACAUGCAAGUCGAACGGAAACGCUCCUGCUUGCAGGGGUACUCGAGUGGCGAACGGGUGAGUAACACGUGGGUGAUCUGCCCUGCACUUCGGGAUAAGCCUGGGAAACUGGGUCUAAUACCGGAUAGGACGAUGGUUUGGAUGCCAUUGUGGAAAGUUUUUUCGGUGUGGGAUGAGCUCGCGGCCUAUCAGCUUGUUGGUGGGGUAAUGGCCUACCAAGGCGUCGACGGGUAGCCGGCCUGAGAGGGUGUACGGCCACAUUGGGACUGAGAUACGGCCCAGACUCCUACGGGAGGCAGCAGUGGGGAAUAUUGCACAAUGGGCGCAAGCCUGAUGCAGCGACGCCGCGUGGGGGAUGACGGCCUUCGGGUUGUAAACUCCUUUCGCUAGGGACGAAGCGCAAGUGACGGUACCUGGAGAAGAAGCACCGGCUAACUACGUG
RNAcentral lists this ribosomal RNA (466 nucleotides) under uncultured bacterium. Its description in RNAcentral is "partial 16S ribosomal RNA". It matches the Rfam family "Bacterial small subunit ribosomal RNA", at positions 28 to 507 of the family's 1533-position model. The record is from RNAcentral.